Molecule: ribosomal RNA, 253 nt
Filed under: uncultured bacterium
Lineage: Bacteria
Description: partial 16S ribosomal RNA
Rfam family: Bacterial small subunit ribosomal RNA
Source: RNAcentral
CACGGAGGGUGCAAGCGUUAUCCGGAUUCACUGGGUUUAAAGGGUGCGUAGGUGGGUUGGUAAGUCAGUGGUGAAAUCCCCGAGCUUAACUUGGGAACCGCCAUUGAUACUAUUAAUCUUGAAUACCGUGGAGGUCAGCGGAAUAUGUCAUGUAGCGGUGAAAUGCUUAGAUAUGACAUAGAACACCAAUUGCGAAGGCAGCUGGCUACGCGAAUAUUGACACUGAUGCACGAAAGCGUGGAGAUCAAACAGG